UGGGGAAUUUUGGACAAUGGGCGCAAGCCUGAUCCAGCCAUGCCGCGUGCGGGAAGAAGGCCUUCGGGUUGUAAACCGCUUUUGCCAGGGAAGAAAUCUUCUGAGUUAAUACCUCGGGAGGAUGACGGUACCUGAAGAAUAAGCACCGGCUAACUACGUGCCAGCAGCCGCGGUAAUACGUAGGGUGCAAGCGUUAAUCGGAAUUACUGGGCGUAAAGCGUGCGCAGGCGGUUUUGUAAGACAGAGGUGAAAUCCCCGGGCUCAACCUGGGAACUGCCUUUGUGACUGCAAGGCUUGAGUGCGGCAGAGGGGGAUGGAAUUCCGCGUGUAGCAGUGAAAUGCGUAGAUAUGCGGAGGAACACCGAUGGCGAAGGCAAUCCCCUGGGCCUGCACUGACGCUCAUGCACGAAAGCGUGGGGAGCAAACAGGAUUAGAUACCCUGGUAGUCCACGCCCUAAACGAUGUCAACUGGUUGUUGGGAAGGUUCCUUCUCAGUAACGUAGCUAACGCGUGAAGUUGACCGCCUGGGGAGUACGGCCGCAAGGUUGAAACUCAAAUGAAUUGACGGGGUCAUAGCUGUUUCCU
Molecule: ribosomal RNA, 585 nt
Filed under: uncultured bacterium
Lineage: Bacteria
Description: partial 16S ribosomal RNA
Rfam family: Bacterial small subunit ribosomal RNA
Source: RNAcentral